This 253-nucleotide ribosomal RNA is filed under the name uncultured bacterium. Its description in RNAcentral is "partial 16S ribosomal RNA". It matches the Rfam family "Bacterial small subunit ribosomal RNA", at positions 524 to 776 of the family's 1533-position model. The record is from RNAcentral.
UACGUAGGGUGCAAGCGUUGUCCGGAAUUAUUGGGCGUAAAGAGCUCGUAGGCGGUCCGUUGCGUCUGCCGUGAAAACCCGAGGCUUAACCUCGGGCCUGCGGUGGAUACGGGCGGACUAGAGGUAGGUAGGGGAGAGUGGAAUUCCCGGUGUAGCGGUGAAAUGCGCAGAUAUCGGGAGGAACACCGGUGGCGAAGGCGGUUCUCUGGGCCGUACCUGACGCUGAGGAGCGAAAGCUAGGGGAGCAAACGGG